AGUUUGAUCAUGGCUCAGAGUGAACGCUGGCGGCAGGCCUAUUACAUGCAAGUCGAACGGCAGCACAGCAGAGCUUGCUCUGUGGGUGGCGAGUGGCGGACGGGUGAGGAAUACAUGGGAAUCUGCCCAGUCGUGGGGGAUAACGUAGGGAAACUUACGCUAAUACCGCAUGCGCCCUUCGGGGGAAAGCCGGGGACCUUCGGGCCUGGCGCGAUUGGAUGAGCCCAUGUCGGAUUAGCUAGUUGGCGGGGUAAUGGCCCACCAAGGCGACGAUCCGUAGCUGGUCUGAGAGGAUGAUCAGCCACACUGGAACUGAGACACGGUCCAGACUCCUACGGGAGGCAGCAGUAGGGAAUAUUGGACAAUGGGCGCAAGCCUGAUCCAGCCAUGCCGCGUGAGUGAAGAAGGCCCUCGGGUUGUAAAGCUCUUUUGUCCGGAAAGAAAAGCGCCGGGUUAAUACCCUGGUGUCCUGACGGUACCGGAAGAAUAAGCACCGGCUAACUUCGUG
This 508-nucleotide ribosomal RNA is filed under the name uncultured bacterium. RNAcentral's name for it is "bacterial SSU rRNA". It matches the Rfam family "Bacterial small subunit ribosomal RNA", at positions 10 to 507 of the family's 1533-position model. The record is from RNAcentral.